Molecule: small RNA, 108 nt
Filed under: Marmota monax (woodchuck)
Lineage: Eukaryota; Metazoa; Chordata; Mammalia; Rodentia; Sciuridae
Source: RNAcentral
GCUGGGCAUUGUGGCUCAUGCCUGUAAUCCCAGUGACUGGGGGAGGCUGAAGCAGGAGGAUCUCAAGUUCAAAGCCAGCCUCUGUAAUUUAGUGAGACUCUAUCUCAA